GCCACUGCUAUUGGGGUUCGGCUAAGCCAUGCGAGUGGAGGGCGUCCCGCAAGGGAUGGCCCCGCAGACGGCUCAGUAACACGUCGUCAACCCACCUUAGGGUGGAGGACAACCUCGGGAAACUGAGGAUAAUCCCCCAUAGGCGGGGGAGGCUGGAAUGCGCCCCCGCUGAAAGCUCAGGCGCCCUAGGACGGGACGGCGGCCUAUCAGGUAGUUGGUGGUGUGACG
Molecule: ribosomal RNA, 228 nt
Filed under: uncultured archaeon
Lineage: Archaea
Description: partial 16S ribosomal RNA
Rfam family: Archaeal small subunit ribosomal RNA
Source: RNAcentral